Molecule: small nucleolar RNA, 84 nt
Filed under: Castor canadensis (American beaver)
Lineage: Eukaryota; Metazoa; Chordata; Mammalia; Rodentia; Castoridae
Description: Small nucleolar RNA SNORA25 (ENSCCNG00000001626.1)
Source: RNAcentral
AUUAAAAAAAAAAAAAAGAUUGAAGUUCUCCAUGGGAUGCCAUAGUCACUCAGUACUGCUGUGCUGUCCUGAGGAGAUACAAAG